GGAGAGGUGACAGAGUGGUCGAUUGUGCAGCACUGGAAAUGCUGUGUGCGGGAAACCGUACCGGGGGUUCGAAUCCCCCCCUCUCCG
Molecule: transfer RNA, 87 nt
Filed under: Planctomyces sp.
Lineage: Bacteria; Pseudomonadati; Planctomycetota; Planctomycetia; Planctomycetales; Planctomycetaceae
Also listed under: 1 other name
Description: tRNA-Ser
Rfam family: tRNA
About the family: Transfer RNA (tRNA) molecules are approximately 80 nucleotides in length.
Source: RNAcentral